Molecule: long non-coding RNA, 640 nt
Filed under: Rattus norvegicus (Norway rat)
Lineage: Eukaryota; Metazoa; Chordata; Mammalia; Rodentia; Muridae
Description: long non-coding RNA NONRATT010990
Source: RNAcentral
GCUGCGAGCUUGCGAUUUCCUGGCGUCGCUCUCUUAGAAGACUUUUUCCUUCUCCAGUCCUUGAAACGCAGCGUCUCAAGGAAAAGUAGCGUGGAACUUGGUGUUUCCUGCCGACAAGCCUUUGCACCUACGAUUUAACGGUAAUUUUGCAGUCCUCAACUUUUCUUGGCGCUGAUGUGGAAGAAAUCGGAGUUGUCUUUCCUUUUGGGGGUUCGUUUCUUUUCUUUUUUUCCCCCCAUUGACUGUUGGCUUUUUGUCAACCGGGAGUCGACAGCUUUUGAAUAAGCCAGUGACAACUUUGACUUUAGGUAAUAAUCGCUAGGUAUUGUGGAGUCCACGUUAAACACUCAUGAGAUCUUGUAUCGCUUUCCUCCCUCAGCACCCCUAGAUUAACCCUUAGCUAAUGUGAGGUCCUGCGGGAGGGUCGCACGAACCUGGCUCACAAAUCCUCCGCAGAUGCUUUGGCAGCAGCUUCUCAGUUAUUCGCUGAGGAAUAAGGCUUCUUGGGAACCUCAGUGACCUGCUAUUCCGAGCAGGCCCCCUACAGAGCUUUCUCCCUCUGGAAUUUUAUCAGAACCCUGGAUUUGGUUUGUGUCUGUGAAAACUGGGACCCGCCCUCAUUUAGAUCCCUUCCAGAAGA